RNAcentral lists this ribosomal RNA (440 nucleotides) under uncultured bacterium. Its description in RNAcentral is "partial 16S ribosomal RNA". It matches the Rfam family "Bacterial small subunit ribosomal RNA", at positions 338 to 795 of the family's 1533-position model. The record is from RNAcentral.
CCUACGGGAUGCAGCAGUGAGGCAUAUUGGGCAAUGGAGGCAACUCUGACCCAGCCAUGCCGCGUGAGUGAAGAAGGUUUUCUGAUUGUACAGCUCUUUCGGAUGUUACGAUGAUGACGUUAGCAUCUAAAGAAACCCCGGCUAACUUCGUGCCAGCAGCCGCGGUAAUACGAAGGGGGCAAGCGGUGUUCGGAAUUACCGGGCGUAAAGGGAGUGUAGGCGGUUUGAUAAGAUAGUGGUGAACUCCCAGGGCUUAACUUUGGAAUUGCUAUGAUAACUAUUAGACUAGAAUUACAGAGAGGAUAGUGGAAUACCCAGUGUAGAGGUGAAAUGCGUAGAUAUUGGGUAGAACACCAGUGGCGAAGGCGACUAUCUGGCUGUACAUUGACGCUGAGGCUCGAUAGCAUGGGGAUCAAACAGGAUUAGAUACCCGAGUAGUC